RNAcentral lists this ribosomal RNA (253 nucleotides) under uncultured bacterium. Its description in RNAcentral is "partial 16S ribosomal RNA". It matches the Rfam family "Bacterial small subunit ribosomal RNA", at positions 524 to 776 of the family's 1533-position model. The record is from RNAcentral.
GACAGAGGUCUCAAGCGUUGUUCGGAUUCAUUGGGCGUAAAGGGUGCGUAGGCGGCGCGGUAAGUCGGGUGUGAAAUCUUGGAGCUUAACUCCGAAACUGCAUUCGAUACUGCCGUGCUUGAGGACUGGAGAGGAGACUGGAAUUUACGGUGUAGCGGUGAAAUGCGUAGAUAUCGUAAGGAAGACCAGUGGCGAAGGCGGGUAUCUGGACAGUUCCUGACGCUGAGGCACGAAGGCCAGGGGAGCAAACGGG